CAACUUCUGCAUGUGUGAGCAGACUGGUGCAGAGGCUGCAUGCCCGUGGAGGAUUUGGUAAACUUUUUGUGCAAAAUUUGUAGCAGGUUUAUUUUCUUUUCCUUUUCCUUUUUGGAACUGGGCAUCACACCUGACUGGAUUAAGCCACAGACCACUGAACCAGCACAUAAUUCAGAUGAUGAAGAAGAAGAACGAAACACAGAAAGAUAGCUUCUGGGGAGAUACCCGCCUUACAGAGCCUCAAGGAAAGUGUUGUUCAUUCCCUUGCAUUUUCUCAUUCGUCUCGAGUCUUUUUCUGUGAACAGUCAUUUGCUCACUCUUGUCCUCUCCAGGUGUAGCCUGCAUCACGAAGCGCCGUUUCGCAGGGAAACAAACUAUCUCUGGAGGAGAGCAGCCAAACAAAAAGCAAAAGCAUCAGUGAGUAGCUGAGGAGUAAGAUGGAAGCACUAGACCCAGAGGUACUUGCCCUCGAAGCCUUCGUCCAAGAAGAUCAACCAGUGAAUUGAUACGCCACAGUCCUCCUUAGAUCACAUUUUUUGUAGGAUAUCCGAGAUGGUCGAUAGUCAUUCUUUAAGAGGGGGGUCAUUUACCCUAAAGGUAUGCAUCACUAUUUCCUGGACAUUCUGUUCGCCAUGUUUCUGUGGAUCAAUUGUCUCUGUUCAUUGAUUGUUGUCCAAAGUUUACUUCCAGAUUUGAUUGGAUUCAAUGCUACACAAACAGCAUGUUAUUUUGCUUUGUAUCGGACAAUUUGACUAGCAAUUAAGCACUAUUUGGAUGGUGGAAGGCAAGAAUUCUAUGUGGUGAUGUGCAUUAAC
This 815-nucleotide ribosomal RNA is filed under the name Triticum aestivum (bread wheat). Its description in RNAcentral is "partial small subunit ribosomal RNA". Lineage: Eukaryota; Viridiplantae; Streptophyta; Magnoliopsida; Poales; Poaceae. The record is from RNAcentral.